CGGGCGCAGAGGCAGCGCGGGAUCCCGAGGGCGUUGCCCCCAGAGGCUGGGACGCAGGCACAGCCACUCUUCACACGCGGGCCUCCCCGUGGGCACUGCGGCGGUUUUGGCAAAUUGCUCAUUAAGCAGAGUCGCGCCCAGAUCGGGAGAGAGGGAGGAGGGCGUUCGUCCUGGGGGCCGGUGUGCGGGCCAGGACAGCAGAGCGGAGCCUCCACGCUUCCAGACCCAAGGCGUUGGGCUUCCCAGACCGCGGACACGAGGUCACUUCCACGGGGGAAGACAGGGGCCGGCGCUGGGACGAUGCUUCCCCCGGAGAUCCCGGCUUUCGUCAUAAUCGUAAUUGUUCCCAAACCAGAAAUAGCCGGCUCCUUCUGUGUUCGGCUCUGGCAGGUGUUUAAGGGCCUUUGAAGAACUGUGGGUUCACUGAACGAACAAAUGAACUUGUUUACAUAAAACACGCAGGAGGAAAUUUCCACUGUGCUUCAACA
Molecule: non-coding RNA, 488 nt
Organism: Oryctolagus cuniculus (rabbit)
Lineage: Eukaryota; Metazoa; Chordata; Mammalia; Lagomorpha; Leporidae
Source: RefSeq, a predicted model, not a curated record